GUCUGUUUGUAGUUGUAGAGAGUUUAACCUGCCCACUGAUAAAAAUUUAAAGGCCGCGGUAAUUUGACCGUGCAAAGGUAGCAUAGUAAUUAGUUUCUUAAUUGGGAUCUUGUAUGAAUGGUUGGACAAGAAAAAAUCUGUCUUUAUAUUUAUUAUUGAAUUUAACUUUUGGGUGAAAAGGCUUAAAUGAAUUAAAGGGACGAUAAGACCCUAUAAAACUUUAUAUUGUUUAUUAUAUAGUUGAAUUUUAUGGAAUAAAGGCUUAAUAAUAGGAUUUAUUAUAUUGGGGUGAUAAAGGUAAAAUUUUUGAUAACUGCUUAAUUUUUAAAAACAAAAAUAAAUGAAGUGUAAAAUGAUCCUAAUUAAAGAUUAAAAGUUUAAGUUACUUUAGGGAUAACAGCGUUAUUUUUUUUGAGAGUUCAUAUCGAAAAAAAAGUUUGCGACCUCGAUGUUGAAUUAAAAUUUCUAUAUAAUUGCAGCAGUUAUAUAAGAAGGUCUGUUCGACCUUUAAAUUUUUACAUGAUUUGAGUUCAAACCGGCGUGAGCCAGGUUGGUUUCUAUCUUUUAAUAAAAAAUUUA
This 579-nucleotide ribosomal RNA is filed under the name Plagusia squamosa. RNAcentral's name for it is "partial 16S ribosomal RNA". It matches the Rfam family "Bacterial large subunit ribosomal RNA", at positions 1831 to 2662 of the family's 2925-position model. The record is from RNAcentral. Lineage: Eukaryota; Metazoa; Arthropoda; Malacostraca; Decapoda; Plagusiidae.